This 245-nucleotide ribosomal RNA is filed under the name Dictyocoela muelleri. RNAcentral's name for it is "partial small subunit ribosomal RNA". It matches the Rfam family "Microsporidia small subunit ribosomal RNA", at positions 55 to 256 of the family's 1311-position model. Lineage: Eukaryota; Fungi; Microsporidia. The record is from RNAcentral.
UGUGUAAGCGAAGCUAUAUGUGGAGCGGUGAAAGGCUCAGUAACGGGCGAUUUAUUUAAUCUCCUGGGACGGACAACAUCGGGAAACUGAUGGGAAAACGUCUAAGUUGCAUUAAUUUUAGUGUGACGUAAACGGAUACGUGCAGGAGAGUAAGAUGCCAUCCUAUCAGUUAGUAAGUAGGGUAAGGGCCUACUUAGACGAAGACGGGUACGGGGAAUGAGGGUUUGAUUCCGGAGAGGGAGCCU